Molecule: ribosomal RNA, 354 nt
Filed under: Bacillus cereus
Lineage: Bacteria; Bacillati; Bacillota; Bacilli; Caryophanales; Bacillaceae
Description: bacterial SSU rRNA
Rfam family: Bacterial small subunit ribosomal RNA
Source: RNAcentral
UUUGGCUCAGGNNGAACGCUGGCGGCGUGCCUAAUACAUGCAAGUCGAGCGAAUGGAUUAAGAGCUUGCUCUUAUGAAGUUAGCGGCGGACGGGUGAGUAACACGUGGGUAACCUGCCCAUAAGACUGGGAUAACUCCGGGAAACCGGGGCUAAUACCGGAUAACAUUUUGAACCGCAUGGUUCGAAAUUGAAAGGCGGCUUCGGCUGUCACUUAUGGAUGGACCCGCGUCGCAUUAGCUAGUUGGUGAGGUAACGGCUCACCAAGGCAACGAUGCGUAGCCGACCUGAGAGGGUGAUCGGCCACACUGGGACUGAGACACGGCCCAGACUCCUACGGGAGGNAAGCAGUAGGA